Molecule: ribosomal RNA, 497 nt
Filed under: uncultured bacterium
Lineage: Bacteria
Description: partial 16S ribosomal RNA
Rfam family: Bacterial small subunit ribosomal RNA
Source: RNAcentral
GAUGAACGCUGGCGGCGUGCCUAAUACAUGCAAGUCGAGCGAACGGACGAGAGGCUUGCUUCUCUGAUGUUAGCGGCGGACGGGUGAGUAACACGUGGAUAACCUACCUAUAAGACUGGGAUAACUUCGGGAAACCGGAGCUAAUACCGGAUAAUAUUUUGAACCGCAUGGUUCAAAAGUGAAAGACGGUCUUGCUGUCACUUAUAGAUGGAUCCGCGCUGCAUUAGCUAGUUGGUAAGGUAACGGCUUACCAAGGCAACGAUGCAUAGCCGACCUGAGAGGGUGAUCGGCCACACUAGAACUGAGACACGGUCCAGACUCCUACGGGAGGCAGCAGUAGGGAAUCUUCCGCAAUGGGCGAAAGCCUGACGGAGCAACGCCGCGUGAGUGAUGAAGGUCUUCGGAUCGUAAAACUCUGUUAUUAGGGAAGAACAUAUGUGUAAGUAACUGUGCACAUCUUGACGGUACCUAAUCAGAAAGCCACGGCUAACUACGUG